AUAAAAAUAUUUAAUUUAAUCAUUCUAUAUUAAUUUAUUUAAAAUAUAUUUAGACAAAAAAUUUAAAGCUCUAUUAUUUGAUUUUUUAAAAUUAUAUUUAAUAUAAUUUAUAACUAAAUAAAAUUCAUUCACUUGCUCAGCUAAUCCACUGUUCUGUUUAAUUUAAUUUUAAGUUACAGAAAACCCCUGUUGUUUAGUACCCAAAAGGGAAACUAGUAACCAUAUGACAGUGAUGUGAUAAUUAAUUAUGGGUUGAUGACUGUACUUAAACUAGGAGCCUAGAGGUUUGACUGGUUGGGAGGCUGGGGAUCCACUGUUGACCGUGGCACAUCAUCUUGUGAUUUACACUAGAAAUUUCAAUUUUUUGUUAUAAAAUUGUUCUAGUGGUACUCAGAGCAAAAUAUCCAUAUUUUAGGCACGGUCAAAUGGUUAAAAAACUAAUUA
RNAcentral lists this long non-coding RNA (444 nucleotides) under Citrus x clementina. RNAcentral's name for it is "Citrus clementina (C. clementina) long non-coding RNA (CCLE_LNC004324)". Lineage: Eukaryota; Viridiplantae; Streptophyta; Magnoliopsida; Sapindales; Rutaceae. The record is from RNAcentral.